GUUUUUAUAGUUUAAAAAAAACCUUGAUUUUGUAAAUCAAUAUUAAGAAUACUCUUUAAAAACU
Molecule: transfer RNA, 64 nt
Filed under: Eubasilissa sinensis
Lineage: Eukaryota; Metazoa; Arthropoda; Insecta; Trichoptera; Phryganeidae
Description: tRNA-Thr
Source: RNAcentral